This 405-nucleotide ribosomal RNA is filed under the name Plutellus sp. 3A PK-2012. RNAcentral's name for it is "partial 12S ribosomal RNA". It matches the Rfam family "Bacterial small subunit ribosomal RNA", at positions 875 to 1412 of the family's 1533-position model. Lineage: Eukaryota; Metazoa; Annelida; Clitellata; Crassiclitellata; Megascolecidae. The record is from RNAcentral.
GGGAUAGAUACCCGUCUAUUCAUGAAAUAAAUAUAAGGUCGAAUAUUACGAACUCAAGUUUAAAAUUCAAAGAUUUUGGCGGUGUCUUAUAAAACCAGGGGAACCUGUCUCAUAACUCGAUAGCCCACGUAUUACUCCCCCUCCUCUUGAAUCCCAGCUUGUAUACUGCCGUUGUAAGCAUACCUUUAAAAGAACUAGUGUGCCGCUAUGAUUAGCUCCCUAACUCAUAUACAUCAGGUCAAAGUGCAGUCAAUAAGGAGGUGAUGAUGGGUUACAGCCUCAAUAUAGAUGUGAAUUAAAAAAUAAAAAAAUUUCAUGAAAAUGGACUUGACUGUAAUUAAAAACCAUUUUAAAAUAAUGAAUAGCCAUCUAAGACAUGCACACAUCGCCCUCACUCACCAAAUU